AUGGCCUCGUCGGCGACGAGGGAGGUGCUUAUGCUGGAGGCGCCACCGUCCGAGGCUGCGGGUGUGCCUUGGCGCCCGCCUCCGGACGCUGAGACGGUGGACGCGCUGCCCUACAUCGACGGGGACUACGGCGACCCUGCGGUGAAGCGCGAGGUUGACCGCCUCGUCGAGGAGGAGAUGCGCCGGGCUCACCGCAAGCCCGCCGACUUCCUCCGUGACUUGCCCCCCGUUCCCAUCAUUGGAUUCGAGAAUCAUCCUAUGCUUGCGAAAGAGUACGAACGUGUUAGAGCUGGCAAGCCACCUGCUACCAUGGAGAUGUCCCGCUAUGGUUUGGAGCCACCCCCAGCGAACAAGAGAAAUGAUGUUCUUGCUUGGAGGCAGGCUUUACGGAAUGCCCAGAGCCAGCUGCAGCAUCAAAUUGUGCGGAUUGAGAAUUUGGAGCUUAUGCUGAAGCACGGUGUUGAGGUUUGGAAGCUCCAGAACAGAAAAAUGGAAUCAGUUUUGUCUAGGACACAAAAAAUGACUCUGGAAUACAAUGAAAAGAUAGAAACUGUCAACCGUGAGAGGAAAUUUCAUCAGCAAAACACUGGUGGACAACUCCAUGCGUUGACAGUAGAAUGGCAGGAACUGUGUCAGAAAAACAUAGCUAUUCAAGCUGCCUGUGUUGAUCUGCAGAAUCAAAUUGAUCUGCUUAAACUUGAAGCUAAAGAACAGGGAAUGCCAAUGGCUGGUGGCAAUGAAACUAACCCACAAGCAUCAGUAGGGAUUUGA
RNAcentral lists this ribosomal RNA (771 nucleotides) under Triticum aestivum (bread wheat). RNAcentral's name for it is "partial small subunit ribosomal RNA". The record is from RNAcentral. Lineage: Eukaryota; Viridiplantae; Streptophyta; Magnoliopsida; Poales; Poaceae.